RNAcentral lists this ribosomal RNA (804 nucleotides) under uncultured bacterium. Its description in RNAcentral is "bacterial SSU rRNA". It matches the Rfam family "Bacterial small subunit ribosomal RNA", at positions 8 to 809 of the family's 1533-position model. The record is from RNAcentral.
AGAGUUUGAUCCUGGCUCAGGAUGAACGCUGGCGGCGUGCUUAACACAUGCAAGUCGAACGAAGCACUUUAUUUGAUUUCCUUCGGGACUGAUUAUUUUGUGACUGAGUGGCGGACGGGUGAGUAACGCGUGGGUAACCUGCCUUGUACAGGGGGAUAACAGUUGGAAACGGCUGCUAAUACCGCAUAAGCGCACAGCAUCGCAUGAUGCAGUGUGAAAAACUCCGGUGGUAUAAGAUGGACCCGCGUUGGAUUAGCUAGUUGGUGAGGUAACGGCCCACCAAGGCGACGAUCCAUAGCCGACCUGAGAGGGUGACCGGCCACAUUGGGACUGAGACACGGCCCAAACUCCUACGGGAGGCAGCAGUGGGGAAUAUUGCACAAUGGGCGAAAGCCUGAUGCAGCGACGCCGCGUGAGCGAAGAAGUAUCUCGGUAUGUAAACUUCUAUCAGCAGGGAAGAAAAUGACGGUACCUGACUAAGAAGCACCGGCUAAAUACGUGCCAGCAGCCGCGGUAAUACGUAUGGUGCAAAGCGUUAUCCGGAUUUACUGGGUGUAAAGGGAGCGCAGGCGGUGCGGCAAGUCUGAUGUGAAAGCCCGGGGCUCAACCCCGGUACUGCAUUGGAAACUGUCGUACUAGAGUGUCGGAGGGGUAAGCGGAAUUCCUAGUGUAGCGGUGAAAUGCGUAGAUAUUAGGAGGAACACCAGUGGCGAAGGCGGCUUACUGGACGAUAACUGACGCUGAGGCUCGAAAGCGUGGGGAGCAAACAGGAUUAGAUACCCUGGUAGUCCACGCCGUAAACGA